Molecule: transfer RNA, 72 nt
Filed under: Fukomys damarensis (Damara mole-rat)
Lineage: Eukaryota; Metazoa; Chordata; Mammalia; Rodentia; Bathyergidae
Rfam family: tRNA
About the family: Transfer RNA (tRNA) molecules are approximately 80 nucleotides in length.
Source: Rfam by way of RNAcentral
GGGGGUGGAGCUCAGUGGCAGAGCAUUUGCCUGGCGUGUACAAGGCCUUGGGUUCAAUCCCCAGCUCCACAA